This 202-nucleotide ribosomal RNA is filed under the name uncultured bacterium. RNAcentral's name for it is "partial 16S ribosomal RNA". It matches the Rfam family "Bacterial small subunit ribosomal RNA", at positions 1300 to 1500 of the family's 1533-position model. The record is from RNAcentral.
GUAGUCUGCAACCCGACUACAUGAAGCUGGAAUCGCUAGUAAUCGCGGAUCAGAAUGCCGCGGUGAAUACGUUCCCGGGUCUUGUACACACCGCCCGUCACACCAUGGGAGCCGGGAAUGCCCGAAGUCGGUGACCUAACCGAAAGGGAGGAGCCGCCGAAGGCAGGGUCUGGUAACUGGGGUGAAGUCGUAACAAGGUACC